Molecule: ribosomal RNA, 253 nt
Filed under: uncultured bacterium
Lineage: Bacteria
Description: partial 16S ribosomal RNA
Rfam family: Bacterial small subunit ribosomal RNA
Source: RNAcentral
GACAGAGGGUGCAAACGUUGUUCGGAAUUACUGGGCGUAAAGCGCGUGUAGGCGGCUUCGCAAGUCGGGUGUGAAAUCCCACGGCUCAACCGUGGAAGUGCAUUCGAAACUGCGAGGCUAGAGUCCUGGAGAGGAAGGUGGAAUGCUUGGUGUAGAGGUGAAAUUCGUAGAUAUCAAGCGGAACACCGGUGGCGAAGGCGGCAUUCUGGACCGAAACUGACGCUGAGGCGCGAAAGCCAGGGGAGCAAACGGG